GGUUAGGGCUCAGUGGUAGAGCACUUGCCUAGCACAUGUGAGGCACUGGGUUCAAUCCUCAGCACCA
RNAcentral lists this transfer RNA (67 nucleotides) under Marmota monax (woodchuck). Its description in RNAcentral is "tRNA.Ala". The record is from RNAcentral. Lineage: Eukaryota; Metazoa; Chordata; Mammalia; Rodentia; Sciuridae.